UGAAAUCAUCACCACAACCAAGCCAAGUGCAUCCAUCGCUCAGGCAGUCACCAUGGUGUGAGUGCGGUGAGACGGCUUUGAUCUGGCUCUCAGCCACUUCUGAUGCUCCUGGUACCUGCAGUCACCACGCUGCACCCAGGCUUCUGUGUGUGUUCAUCCCACAGCUGCAGCAGCCCAAAGGGAUGAGAAGAUGGAUAUGGCCCGGAGAUAAUGCACACCUCUCGUGGGGACAGUGUCCCCAUCCCCCUCCGGCUGCACUGAAGACCUGGAGCAAUGGCUGCCAUCCAUGCGCGAGGACCCCUCGGAGGUUCCACCUGCACAGACCUUGCUAAGGGUGAGGUGAUUACUAGAAGGAGCACCUUUUCUAGUUAAAAUCUAACUAGAUUCUCCUUGGCAACUUGUCUUACAGAAACAGGUAUAGACUAUCACCUUGCCCAGCUGGGCGCAUCUUCGGAGGGAGGCCUGGGGCCACGUGCACCUAAUGAAGGUG
RNAcentral lists this long non-coding RNA (490 nucleotides) under Homo sapiens (human). Its description in RNAcentral is "novel transcript". Lineage: Eukaryota; Metazoa; Chordata; Mammalia; Primates; Hominidae. The record is from RNAcentral.